This 1473-nucleotide ribosomal RNA is filed under the name Brevibacterium casei. Its description in RNAcentral is "16S ribosomal RNA". It matches the Rfam family "Bacterial small subunit ribosomal RNA". The record is from RNAcentral. Lineage: Bacteria; Bacillati; Actinomycetota; Actinomycetes; Micrococcales; Brevibacteriaceae.
GACGAACGCUGGCUGCGUGCUUAACACAUGCAAGUCGAACGCUGAAGCCUGGUGCUCGCACCGGGUGGAUGAGUGGCGAACGGGUGAGUAACACGUGAGUAACCUGCCCCUGACUUCGGGAUAAGCCCGGGAAACUGGGUCUAAUACCGGAUACGACUGCCGGACGCAUGUCUGGUGGUGGAAAGUUUUUUCGGUUGGGGAUGGGCUCGCGGCCUAUCAGUUUGUUGGUGAGGUAAUGGCUCACCAAGACGACGACGGGUAGCCGGCCUGAGAGGGCGACCGGCCACACUGGGACUGAGACACGGCCCAGACUCCUACGGGAGGCAGCAGUGGGGAAUAUUGCACAAUGGGGGAAACCCUGAUGCAGCGACGCAGCGUGCGGGAUGACGGCCUUCGGGUUGUAAACCGCUUUCAGCAGGGAAGAAGCGCAAGUGACGGUACCUGCAGAAGAAGUACCGGCUAACUACGUGCCAGCAGCCGCGGUAAUACGUAGGGUACGAGCGUUGUCCGGAAUUAUUGGGCGUAAAGAGCUCGUAGGUGGUUGGUCACGUCUGCUGUGGAAACGCAACGCUUAACGUUGCGCGUGCAGUGGGUACGGGCUGACUAGAGUGCAGUAGGGGAGUCUGGAAUUCCUGGUGUAGCGGUGAAAUGCGCAGAUAUCAGGAGGAACACCGGUGGCGAAGGCGGGACUCUGGGCUGUAACUGACACUGAGGAGCGAAAGCAUGGGGAGCGAACAGGAUUAGAUACCCUGGUAGUCCAUGCCGUAAACGUUGGGCACUAGGUGUGGGGGGCAUUCCACGUCCUCCGCGCCGUAGCUAACGCAUUAGGUGCCCCGCCUGGGGAGUACGGUCGCAAGGCUAAAACUCAAAGGAAUUGACGGGGGCCCGCACAAGCGGCGGAGCAUGCGGAUUAAUUCGAUGCAACGCGAAGAACCUUACCAAGGCUUGACAUACACCGGACCGUCCUGGAAACAGGUCUUCUUCUUUGAAGCUGGUGUACAGGUGGUGCAUGGUUGUCGUCAGCUCGUGUCGUGAGAUGUUGGGUUAAGUCCCGCAACGAGCGCAACCCUCGUUCUAUGUUGCCAGCACGUGAUGGUGGGAACUCAUAGGAGACUGCCGGGGUCAACUCGGAGGAAGGUGGGGAUGACGUCAAAUCAUCAUGCCCUUUAUGUCUUGGGCUUCACGCAUGCUACAAUGGCUGGUACAGAGAGAGGCGAACCCGUGAGGGCAAGCGAAUCCCUUAAAGCCAGUCUCAGUUCGGAUCGUAGUCUGCAAUUCGACUACGUGAAGUCGGAGUCGCUAGUAAUCGCAGAUCAGCAACGCUGCGGUGAAUACGUUCCCGGGCCUUGUACACACCGCCCGUCAAGUCACGAAAGUCGGUAACACCCGAAGCCGGUGGCCUAACCCCUUGUGGGAGGGGGCCGUCUAAGGUGGGACUGGUGAUUGGGACUAAGUCGUAACAAGGUAGCCGUA